Molecule: long non-coding RNA, 4800 nt
Organism: Tympanuchus pallidicinctus (lesser prairie-chicken)
Lineage: Eukaryota; Metazoa; Chordata; Aves; Galliformes; Phasianidae
Exons: 2
Source: RefSeq, a predicted model, not a curated record
CCCCUCCGGGCGGGGACGGGCGCGCUGCCCCGGGGGGGCGGAGGGGCGGCGGGCACAGCGCGACCGCGGGGCUCCGCGCUUUACGCUUCCCUACUGCGUGCCGCGGCGGGGGGGCAGCAAUGAGAAGAAGUGCGGGGACCAAGCGGCGGCAGCUGGAGCGCGGCGGCUGCGCGCGCGCGUGUGUGUGUAUGUGUUUGUGCAUGUAUGUGUGCAUGUGUGUGUGCAUGUGUGUGUGUAUGUGUGUGUGUGUAUGUGUGUGUGUGCCCCCCCGCCGAACGGGGAGUCAGGUGGGACACACACACACACGCUCUCACGCAGGCCCCCCCCUCUGUCUCUGCACUCCCUGCCCCUUCCCCGCUUUCCUCCUUUGCCUUCAUCCUUCCCUCGCUCCUUUAUUUAUUUCCAUGCCCGCUCCCCGCCGCUGCCCCUCGCAACCCCUGCCGGGCAGCGACCUCCGAAACGCGGUGGCGACCUCCCGGGACGGGGCCUUGCGGGAUAAGGGCACGCAGCCUCCGGGGUGGCCACCCCGUCGGGUUCCGCCGCGCCGCGCGUUGUCGGGAGCUGCGCAUCAGCCCCACACCCCGGUCUCGGCUGCUGUGUCACCUGGCACCAUGUGCUCCUCAACAGCGCUGUUUGAGAAUUGUCUUUAUUCGUGGAACUUCUCCGUGGAGAGGGACUUUUUUCUUUUGUUUUUUUUUUUUUAAGCCCUUCUUUCCCAUCUUUGCCACUGCACAAUUUGGAUGUGGAGUUCCUGGAAAGUGAACGCUGGCAAUGAGUGCAGCUUUCCCUGAAAGCUGAGGCUGCUGCUUAUUGCCUAUUGAGAAGAGAGGGGACCAUGGAUGUCAGCUCCAUCUUUUUUUUUUUCUUUUUUUUUCUUUUCUUUUUUUUUUCUUUUUUCUUUUAUUUUGACUUUGAGGCAUAUUUCCUCUUCCUGCUCUGGGAAUUGGCAGAUACAGUUCCUGUAGGCAACUUUGCAUCAAGACAGAGACUGUGGAGUCGAUACCUCAAUGCUUUUCUUAGCUGUGCACUUCUAUUAAUUGGUGUUAGAAAGUGCAACCUUGUAGCACAGUUAUUGAAUAAUCAUUAAUCUGUGGAGGAUACACAAGCCCAAAGGUUAAUAAUAACAAUUAAUAAUAGUGACUUUGCUAGCAGGGAGACUAUUUUCUCAUAGUUAUUAAAAGGCACUCCCAUUUAUGCUAUGUAUGGAGAGGUGAAUUUGGCCCUGGCGUGCUGUGUACCACAUUACUGCAGCAAGCCCACAGAUGAAUCCUUCCCAUUAUCUCCAUGCUGUCAGGCCUCUCACUUUUUCUCCCUUUAAAAUGUAUCAAGCACUGCUCUCAUUUUAAAUAGAAAUGCUCAAGCUUUAAUCAAUUCUGACAUUUCCACUGGAAAAUAACAUUUAGCUCUCUUACAUAGAUAAAAAUUUAUUUGCCUACAGCUGGUCUGCUGCAAUGCUUUGGACCUAUUUGCUUCUCAGAGAAGAGUUGGCUUUUCAUGGUCUCUAGGUACCAUGGGGCAAUAAAUAGAAAGUCAGUGCAAGGGAAAUGUUCACACUUUUGCAGGCACAACAUUCCACUGCCUCCUCGCUGAGCUCUUCAGUCUGCCUAACCAGCAUGCUCCUGUUGUCCAAGACCCGUCUCCUUUAUUUGUAUCACACCCCUGUCUGGCUGGUCAGUGAAUCCUAAUAAUAAUCGUGUUUCAUGUCUCAGAAAUCUAAUAAUCAAGUUAGUCAUUCGUAUAAAUUGCAACUAAGCUGUUUGGGUUCGUUGUUCUAUCCCCACUUUAAAGGCAGGGAAACUGAAACAGGAAAAUUAACGCAUUUGCCUGAGGCCACACUUGGAUUUAAGAGUAGGUCCAGCACAGGAACUGAGUUCUGUAUUUAGACCAUGCUUCCUCUUAAAGAUUCUGAAGCACACUGUAGAAAAUGUUUUUAAAGAAAGGAAUGUAGUAUAAACCAUAUUUUUCAUUGACUUUGUAUACUAGUCAAAUCGAAUGCUUUUUUAUUUUUAAAUAUAUAUUAUGUUUCCUUUUCUAAACACAAGAUUUAUUUGACUUUUGACAAAGCAUGGUGGUACCUUUCAGUUGCAGUCAGCUUACUGUGGAAACAAGAAGCAUUUACUAUGAGAUUGUGAGCAGUAAUGGGAACAGAAUUGCUUGUUGUUAGGUUAUUGUAAACAAUAUCCAUUGGAUGUUACGGUGUAGUUGUAGGCCAGCACAACAUAAUGAGAAGUUCAGCAUUAGUAUAGAUAAGGCGCUCUUGCUUACCUGGUAUGCAUCAGUUUCCACCGUAAUUCUCCUUCAGUGCUUUCAGCAGCAAAAUACUUAGUGUGGCUUUAAGCACUGAAAAACAUGUGGGACAACCAUAUACCAUGAGAGUUAUGAUUUAUAUCAUUAAGCAGUGAGUUUUGCAGAGUUGUGUCACUCAUGUCAAUGAAGCAAGAAGUAUUCUGCCGGCCCUUUAGCUGUGGCAUGUCAUCAAAGCUAUAUUAUGGUAUGACUGAGCGCAGAUGGCAUGUCUAAAAAGCAGGUGUACAAUAUAACUUUCAUAUUACUGACACAUAGAUAUUUCCUCUUCCUCAGUGUCCAUUCCCAGAUGUUUGCUUGCCCAGACUUCUACAGGAACUAUAGAAAGUCCUGCUCAUCCCUCAUGUCUGGAUUUGUAUCGUCAAAACCUGUACAGAAUAUGUGCUUACAUAUAUUUGUAUGCAUUUAUGCUGACAGCUCCUUUCUGAGUUUUUUUCAGGGUCCUGAUUUGAGGAAAGUGGAUGCAGAUCUCGCUCAAAUAAUCUUUCUCCAAUACCAUCAACAUUGCCUGCCAAAAAUAAAAGUGGCAUAUGAAUCACAAUAAUUCACUCAUGAUUUGGUGGAUUUAAAGCCUGCGAAGGAGCAUUAGAGAUCCACAUGAUGUUCCUGAGUUUUAUGGACUUUGAGUGGUGGUAAAAGGAUAUUUAGCCAAGGACCUAUCUUAUAUGUACUGCAGAUCUAUCACGUAUUCAAGUGAAGGGCAAUAUUAAUGAAACUAUCUCUGUUCAAAUGUUUAUCUUUCAGGUGAGGUGACGAAACUGUUGAAUCUGCAGAGUGAAACCAUCGGAAGCCUUUUCUGAGGUGCCCCUUACCAAAAUGUUACUAUGGCAUAAUGAUUUGGAAAUAAGUUUUGUGUGAGAAGAGCUAUCAGAUCCCCUGGGAAACAUUACAGAUACUUUUCAGUUCCUUUCAGACAUGUAAAUAUGUUUAGACAUGAGCAGAAAGUAGAGCUGGGGAGUGGAGUAGGGCAGGGAGUAGGGUGGGGUUAAAAGCUUCCUCAUAGAUCCUGGAACCAAAUAAACAUGUGUUUUUUUUCUUCUUAUCUGAUGUUAGCUGGAGCUUGAAAUAGUCAAUAUUAAGAAGAAACACCACAUAAAUGUGUGUAUAUGUAAGAGUUAUGUUGACCGAUGAUUAAAAGAGGUCAUCUUCUGCCAUUCAUCACAGACUGGCUUCAGUUUCUUCCAGCCAUUCACUGGAGGUGCUUGUUUCUAGGCCCUGAUGCUGCACAGUACCUCAAUCCAUUCAGCUUGUCUUCAAGAUGGUAACUACUUUCCGCUCCACGUAUCUGCUGCGGAAGAUCUUGUGAUUACCUGAAAAAGUGAAUUGCAUCCUGUAGAUUUCCCCUUAAAACUUUUGCUUCACAGAAAAGUUCAGCUUGUGACAGAUGCGUCAGUGGUGUGAGACUCACUUCUCUGUUGCCUAAUUGCCCUCUCCACCUUCUGUCAAUCUGAAACUUUCAUUUUGGAAAGGAUUGAAGGAGUUGUAUUAAUGUUUGUGCUAGCCACUAUUUUUCCUGCACAUUUUCUCCUUUCCUUUGGUGUCUGGUUUGUCUUGGCUGCUUCUAAAAAUUCUGUUGCCUCUAGUGAGGGACUGCCAGAUUAAACCAGUACAGAGAAGCCAGGUGACUGUCUACUUUUACAAAUAUAGGUUGUGUAUAAUAAAUUCAGGUUUUACAUCUAUGCAAAUGAAGUCAUCAUAUGAUUCUGACUACAUGCAUUUUUUUUAUCAAAUAUGGCAUAUAUUUCACAAAUUAUAUUUAACUUAUACACAUGUUGCUAUUCUGAAUACCUGACUAGGAAUUGCAAAGUGUGCCACCAGAUCUUAGUAAAUGGGCUUAUGGAACAAGAAGAAAUAAGGGAAAAUCACCUCUUUUCCUUGCAUUACGGACAAGUCCAGUGUAAGGGCUUUUCCUAAUCUAGAUGGCAAUAUAAACACCACAGAGAUGUUCAGAGGUACAUCUUUUUGUUGGGAAUUAAAGAAUUUACAAAUAAUAAAACAAAAUGCCCUAAAAAAAGGAAGUUUUAAAGUAAUGUGUCUUUGGUCUAGUGUUUGUCGCAGCUACUUGGUAUGGCCUUCCUCUAAUGUUUCAGUCAUGCAGAAUAAGACAUUAGUCACAUUGUCAAAAUAAGCAUGUUACUUCUGCAAAAAUGUAUUUUCACCUCAGGAAUAUUGUGAAGUGAAAACAGGAUUUAGCACAAUUCUUCCUUUUGAGUUUUUCUACAGACAGGACAGUUUAGUGAUACACAGAUAGUGUAAAGCUCUAAAUCUUGCAAGAUGAUCCCCAACUGCAGGUAUGACACACCUGGAAGAAUCUGCCAACUGAGUGCUGGCUAGGAUUAAGCUGAAAAGGCAAGAACUCAGUGCUUUCAGUGUUAACUGUCCUCAAUAACUGCUGGUUUGUUUUUUUGUUGUUGUUGUUGAGUUGUUUUUUUUUGUUUCUUUCUUUCUUUCUUUCUGUCUUUUCAAAUAAAUAAACAAGUAUUUUAUUGAGCUCAA